GACGAACGCUGGCGGCGUGCUUAACACAUGCAAGUCGAACGGAAAGGCCCUGCUUUCGUGGGGUGCUCGAGGGGCGAACGGGUGAGUAACACGUGAGUAACCUGCCCCUGAUUUUGGGAUAACUUCAGGAAACUGGGGCUAAUACCGUAUAGGUGCUCCUGCUGCAUGGUGGUGGUUGGAAAGUUUCGGCGGGCGGGGAUGGACUCGCGGCUUAUCAGCUUGUUGGUGGGGUAGUGGCUUACCAGGGCUUUGACGGGUAGCCGGCGUGAGAGGGUGACCGGCCACAUUGGGACUGAGGUACGGCCCAGACUCCUACGGGAGGCAGCAGUGGGGAAUAUUGCACAAUGGGGGGAGGCCUGAUGCAGCAACGCCGCGUGCGGUGUGACGGCAUUCGGGUUGUAAACCGCUUUCGCCUGUGACGAAGCGUGAGUGACGGUAAUGGGUAAAGAAGCACCGGCUAACUACGUG
Molecule: ribosomal RNA, 468 nt
Filed under: uncultured bacterium
Lineage: Bacteria
Description: partial 16S ribosomal RNA
Rfam family: Bacterial small subunit ribosomal RNA
Source: RNAcentral